AACGCACAUUGCGCCCGCCAGUAUUCUGGCGGGCAUGCCUGUCCGAGCGUCAUUUCAACCAUCAAGCUCUGCUUGCGUUGGGGAUCCGCGGCUGCCCGCGGUCCCUCAAAAACAGUGGCGGGCUCGCUAGUCACACCGAGCGUAGUAACUCUACAUCGCUAUGGUCGUGCGGCGGGUUCUUGCCGUAAAACCCCCCAACUUCUAAGGUUGACCUCGGAUCAGGUAGGAAUACCCGCUGAACUUAA
This 245-nucleotide unclassified non-coding RNA is filed under the name uncultured Sordariaceae. Its description in RNAcentral is "sequence contains ITS2". The stretch from base 1 to 52 matches the Rfam family "5.8S ribosomal RNA", at positions 103 to 154 of the family's 154-position model. The record is from RNAcentral. Lineage: Eukaryota; Fungi; Ascomycota; Sordariomycetes; Sordariales.